GACGGUACCUGCAGAAGAAGCACCGGCUAACUAUGUGCCAGCAGCCGCGGUAAUACAUAGGGUGCAAGCGUUGUCCGGAAUUAUUGGGCGUAAAGAGCUCGUAGGUGGUUCGUCACGUCGGAUGUGAAACUCUGGGGCUUAACCCCAGACCUGCAUUCGAUACGGGCGAGCUUGAGUAUGGUAGGGGAGUCUGGAAUUCCUGGUGUAGCGGUGGAAUGCGCAGAUAUCAGGAGGAACACCAAUGGCGAAGGCAGGACUCUGGGCCAUUACUGACACUGAGGAGCGAAAGCGUGGGGAGCGAACAGGAUUAGAUACCCUGGUAGUCCACGCCGUAAACGGUGGGCACUAGUUGUGGGGACCUUCCACGGUCUCUGCGACGCAUCUAACGCAUUAAGUGCCCCGCCUGGGGAGUACGAUCGCAAGAUUAAAACUC
RNAcentral lists this ribosomal RNA (433 nucleotides) under uncultured bacterium. Its description in RNAcentral is "bacterial SSU rRNA". It matches the Rfam family "Bacterial small subunit ribosomal RNA", at positions 471 to 902 of the family's 1533-position model. The record is from RNAcentral.